RNAcentral lists this ribosomal RNA (590 nucleotides) under uncultured bacterium. RNAcentral describes it as "bacterial SSU rRNA". It matches the Rfam family "Bacterial small subunit ribosomal RNA", at positions 330 to 916 of the family's 1533-position model. The record is from RNAcentral.
CCCAGACUCCUACCGGGAGCACAGUUGGGGGAUAUUGCACAAAUGGGCGCAAGCUCUGAUGCAGCCAUGCCGCGUGAAUGAUGAAGGCCUUAGGGUCUGUAAAAUUCUGUCGCCAGGGAUGAUAAUGACAGUACCUGGUAAAGAACGCCCCGGCUAACUUCGUGCCAGCAGCCCGCGGUAAUACGAAUGGGGGCUAGCGUUUGUUCGGAAUUACUGGGCGUAAAGCGCACGUAGCCGGACUUUUAAAGUCAGUAUGUGAAAUCCCGAGGCUCAACCUCGGAACUGCAUUUGAAACGCUGGGAGUCUAGAGAUCAGGAGAGGUUAGCGGAAUACCGAGUGUAGAGUUGAAAUUCGUAGAUAUUCGUGUGGAACACCAUGUGGCGAAGGCGGCUAACUGGACUGAUACUGACGGUGAGGUGCGAAAGUUGUGGGGAGCAUAACCAGGAUUAGAUACCCCUGGUAGUCCACACUCGUAAAUCGAUGAGUGCUAGUUGUCUGCAGGCAUGCCUGUUAGGUGACGCAGCUAACGCAUUAAGCACUCCGCUCUGGGGAGUACGGCCGCCAAGGUUAAAACUCAAAUGAAUUGACGG